This 61-nucleotide transfer RNA is filed under the name human gut metagenome. It matches the Rfam family "tRNA", at positions 8 to 63 of the family's 71-position model. From Rfam's summary of the family: Transfer RNA (tRNA) molecules are approximately 80 nucleotides in length. Their secondary structure includes four short double-helical elements and three loops (D, anti-codon, and T loops). The record is from RNAcentral.
CGGGUUAGCUCAACGGCAGAGCAUCGGUCUUCCAAACCGAGGAUACGGGUUCGAUUCCCGC